RNAcentral lists this ribosomal RNA (497 nucleotides) under uncultured bacterium. RNAcentral's name for it is "bacterial SSU rRNA". It matches the Rfam family "Bacterial small subunit ribosomal RNA", at positions 903 to 1397 of the family's 1533-position model. The record is from RNAcentral.
AAAGGAAUAGACGGGGGCCCGCACAAGCGGUGGAGCAUGUGGUUUAAUUCGACGCAACGCGAAGAACCUUACCAGGAUUUGACAUCCUCUGACGUCGUAAGAGAUUACGAUUUUAGUCUUCGGAUUAACAGAGAGACAGGUGGUGCAUGGUUGUCGUCAGCUCGUGUCGUGAGAUGUUGGGUUAAGUCCCGCAACGAGCGCAACCCUUAUUCUUAGUUGCCAUCAUUAAGUUGGGCACUCUAAGGAGACUGCCGGUGACAAACCGGAGGAAGGUGGGGAUGACGUCAAAUCAUCAUGCCCUUUAUGUCCUGGGCUACACACGUGCUACAAUGGCCUGUACAGAGGGUAGCGAAGCCGCAAGGUGGAGCCAAUCCCAAAAAGCAGGUCUCAGUUCGGAUUGCAGGCUGCAACUCGCCUGCAUGAAGUAGGAAUCGCUAGUAAUCGCGGAUCAGAAUGCCGCGGUGAAUACGUUCCCGGGCCUUGUACACACCGCCCGU